Molecule: ribosomal RNA, 497 nt
Filed under: uncultured bacterium
Lineage: Bacteria
Description: partial 16S ribosomal RNA
Rfam family: Bacterial small subunit ribosomal RNA
Source: RNAcentral
GAUGAACGCUGGCGGCGUGCCUAAUACAUGCAAGUCGAGCGAACGGACGAGAAGCUUGCUUCUCUGAUGUUAGCGGCGGACGGGUGAGUAACACGUGGAUAACCUACCUAUCAGACUGGGAUAACUUCGGGAAACCGGAGCUAAUACCGGAUAAUAUUUUGAACCGCAUGGUUCAAAAGUGAAAGACGGUCUUGCUGUCACUUAUAGAUGGAUCCGCGCUGCAUUAGCUAGUUGGUAAGGUAACGGCUUACCAAGGCAACGAUGCAUAGCCGACCUGAGAGGGGGAUCGGCCACACUGGAACUGAGACACGGUCCAGACUCCUACGGGAGGCAGCAGUAGGGAAUCUGCCGCAAUGGGCGAAAGCCUGACGGAGCAACGCCGCGUGAGUGAUGAAGGUCUUCGGAUCGUAAAACUCUGUUAUUAGGGAAGAACAUAUGUGUAAGUAACUGUGCACAGCUUGACGGUACCUAAUCAGAAAGCCACGGCUAACUACGUG